Molecule: non-coding RNA, 54 nt
Organism: Salmo salar (Atlantic salmon)
Lineage: Eukaryota; Metazoa; Chordata; Actinopteri; Salmoniformes; Salmonidae
Source: Rfam
UGCAUGCAUGACUGUAAGUGACUUUGGAUAAAAGCAUCUGCUAAAUGGCAUAUA